UUUUUUUUUUUUUUUUUUUUUUUUUACAACCAAACAACAAAACUUCCAGUUGAGAUGGCUUCCUUUUUUUAAAAAAAUAAAAAUAUUGAGCAUGUUGAUAUAAUAUGCAAAAAACUCCAAACUUGGCAGUAAUCUUGACAUAUCUCCUCAAUAUCAUACACCUUGAUAGCAAUGAUCAUUUAUCAGUCUUUGAUAGAGUUCUUGAGAUUGAGUUCAAACUUUAAUAUAUUAAGGUGAAAGAGCCAUUUGACUCAAAAGCCAAAAAGCAAAUAUGAAAAGAGAUUCCUACUUAAGCUCUGAAGAAGCAAUGAAAGGGGGAUAGGAAGUUAGUUAUUCAGUCUAGUUGGAAUUUUACUCAGUUGUGCCAACUGCAUCUAGUGGAGGGAUUAGAAAAAAGCAAAGGAGAUAACAUAGUAGUGGGAUGUUAUUCUGGGCACCAAAAGCACGUGUAAGUGCACACUGGCAACAGUGAGACAAGCUAACAAAGGGGACAGAAGAUGUACUUGACAGGAAUAUAGAAGAGUUAGCAGAUGAGUAGGCGGAGAUGGCAUAUGAGACGUAGGCUGGGGAGCAGUAGGAAAGAGCCUUGGUGGUAAAGACAAAUAGUUUAAAUAUAAUACAAAAUACAAUAAGGGCCCGGUGAAGAAAGCUGAGAAGCCCAAGAUAAUGUCUACAGUACAGCAUUUCAAGCUGUCUAAGAAGUAGAUAUUUAGACAAAAAAUCUGAAAGGGGGAAGUUAUGAAAGCAACAAGAGAAAACAUUCAAAAUCUGGUCCAAGUGUUUUUGUUUUUCUUUUAAGAAAUGAAAAGAUAAAGAGAGACCAGGAGCGGGCAGCUCAGGUCUGUAAUCCCAGCACUUUGGGAGGCCAAGGCAGGCGGAUCUCUUGAGGCCAGGAGUUCGAGACCAGCCUGGCCAACAUGGUGAAACCGUCUCUACUAAAAAUACAAAAAUUAGCCGGGGGUGGUGGUGCGUGCCUGUAAUCCCAGCUACUCUGGAGGCUAAGGUAGGAGAAUCGCUUGAACCUGGGAGGUGGAGGCUGUAGAGAGCCAAGAUUGUGCCACUGCACUCCAGCCCAGGUGACAGAGUUGAGACUCCAUCUCAAAAAAUCAAAAUGAAAAUGGUAGCUGGUAAGAAUUUCUUGGAAAUUUGCCAGUUACCUAAGUAUUUAAGAAGACACAGUAAAAAGAAAAUUUAAAAAAUAGCAAAAUAAAUAAUAAAGACAACUAUUCAAAAGAUCCUGAAAGCUUCAAACACAAAGAAUAAUGUACUAUACAGUAACAGGAAUGAAACAUUUAAUAUUUUAAAACAAUUUUCCAAACUACAGAUAAAUUUCUUAGAGUUCUGUUUUAUUAAAUGCAAUUCUGGUGUAUUUAAUUCUUUUUUCUGAAAUAAGUUAUAUUCUAAUUAAAUAAAUUUUACUAAAAAAAUCUGAAUUCAGCUAUUGUUCACUAACCCUUAAUAAUUUUUAACAUAAAGGUAGACACAAAUGUGCAAUGAAUUUAUGUAUUCAUUGUGGACUACACUUUUAAAUCCAUUCCUUGCUCAGUGGUUUUUGAAUGCUUAUUAAGUAUCAUUGACAUUAUGCUGAGGAAAAGCUGUCAUUCUAGGAAAUUCACCACUUCUACCACUAGGUGGAGAAAAAACACAAGUAGUAUCUGUAAUCAAAGCUAGUACAAGGACUCAGGUACUUUACCUAGAAUUUCCACCAGGUGUCAACCAAGAGGGGGGGAAAAAGAUAAGACUGUUUUUUCCACUUAAAUAUGCAAAUUUAUAAUUUUACGCAUAGCGAUCUAAACUCUGAAAUAAAUGGCCUGCUCAUUGUCUAGUUUGCAUAUUUAUACUUUUUAUAUAUUGCUGUUGAGUCCAAGAUACUGCCUUGUCAACUAAAAUCCAGCCCCCAAAAGCUUAGUUUCUUUUGAAAUAAAGAAAACAGCAAGACCAAUAAGUUUAGUUUAUUGUGACUCAUAGGUUCAACCUACCCAAAUACACUACGCAAAAGAAUCUAAAAUGUUUAGACACGGACAGCCAAAAAUCUUCCAAGGUAUUUUUGUUCAUACAUAUAUAGAGAGAGAGAUAGCACCAGAUUCAUAUUUUUUCUUUCUACAUUUCUCUUGUAAGGCAGUUCUGUUGAUUGCCAGUAAUCUAGAUGAGUUUAUGCUGUUAUGCUCUGAAUCCCAGUGUGAUGUGACGAAAGCACUGCUAUUUUUUACCAAACAUUCACAAUAAAAAGAGAAAUGUACCUAUAUUUAAGAUGUAUCAUGAGAAUUACUACGUUAAAUGGUCCAAGGCUCUUUCGGCCGAAAAUUAAAGCUUCACAGUUAACCCCUAUUUAUAUACCAAAUCAUGCUUUUUAAAAACAAUUUUAUGCGCUUCACUAAUUUCUAACAAAGAUUUUCCGAUUCUGUUGCAAACAAUAUGUCAGCUAAACCACUAUGUCCUAUGCCUUUUAUAAGAUGGUACUUUUUUAGGCCGAACUCUAUUCUUAUUCCUCUGGACACAGGAGUUGUAAUCAUGUCUUACUCUGCAAAUCUAGCCGUAGGUGGUGUCUUAAAAAGGACUUUUUCUUCCUUCGAGGAAGUGGUCAAGCUUCCCCCCAGCCCCCACCCGUGUCAUCCUGGAAACAACUUGGUUGUUUUUCGGUGCUAUCUAAUUAAGCGAUGUAGGAGAAAGAAGUUGAGGAGACAAAAAAGCCUAUUGAUUACAUUGUACUUGCUUCUCUACCUCGCUCUUCAAAGGACUAAGGUUCCUUUGACCUCGACUGAGUUCAUUUCCACCCUGCCUACAAAGUACUGGUUUAAAAAAAAUAUAUAUAUAUCCAAGCCAAGUAUGCUCUUGUCUAUGAACAAUACUUCUUGUCCAGUUUUAUUACGUUUUCUUUGAAAAUUCGUUAGAUUAUGCUCAACAAUCGGCCGCUUGCCCAACCGGUUUCUCCCUUCCCCCAUCUCUCUUCACACAUCACUUUUUCCUCCUCCCAUCCAGGCAGUUGGUAAAACGCUGCAGUGCCAGUAACGCACGCUUUGGGGUGGUCACUGCAGUUUAUCCUUACUUGGCUUUGCAAACUCCCCACCCAGGCCUUGUCCCCUCGCGCCCCACUCUGCCAUUAUCUUUCCAGUAGAGUGUGCUCGGUAAGGGGCUCCAGAUAGCACGUCGAGGGUAUACGGCAGCCUGCCUACCAAUAGGAGCCCACAAUGAAGAGAAGUCAGGUUCAGCCGGCCGGCAGCUCCAGUAUCUCC
Molecule: long non-coding RNA, 3233 nt
Organism: Macaca fascicularis (crab-eating macaque)
Lineage: Eukaryota; Metazoa; Chordata; Mammalia; Primates; Cercopithecidae
Source: Ensembl